RNAcentral lists this ribosomal RNA (305 nucleotides) under uncultured bacterium. RNAcentral describes it as "bacterial SSU rRNA". It matches the Rfam family "Bacterial small subunit ribosomal RNA", at positions 337 to 659 of the family's 1533-position model. The record is from RNAcentral.
UCCUACGGGAGGCAGCAGUGGGGAAUAUUGCACAAUGGGGGAAACCCUGAUGCAGCAACGCCGCGUGAGUGAAGAAGUAUUUCGGUAUGUAAGGCUCUAUCAGCAGGGAAGAAAAUAACGGUACCUGACUAAGAAGCCCCGGCUAACUACGUGCCAGCAGCCGCGGUAAUACGUAGGGGGCAAGCGUUAUCCGGAUUUACUGGGUGUAAAGGGAGCGUAGACGGCGAUGCAAGUCUGAAGUGAAAGGCGGGGGCCCAACCCCCGGACUGCUUUGGACACUGUAUGGCUGGAGUGCAGGAGAGGUA